Pongo abelii (Sumatran orangutan) is the source of this 172-nucleotide unclassified non-coding RNA. It matches the Rfam family "Metazoan signal recognition particle RNA". From Rfam's summary of the family: The signal recognition particle (SRP) is a universally conserved ribonucleoprotein. It is involved in the co-translational targeting of proteins to membranes. NCBI's taxonomy places the organism in Eukaryota, Metazoa, Chordata, Mammalia, Primates, Hominidae. The record is from Ensembl.
GCCGGGCGUGGUGGUGCAUGCCUGUAAUCCCAGCUACUCAGGAGGCUGAGGCAGGAGAAUCACUUGAACCCAGGAGGCGGAGGUUGGAGUGAGCCGAGAUGGCGCCAUUGCAGUGAGUUGAGAUGGUACCACUGCACUCCAGCCUGGGCGACAGAGUGAGACUCUGUCUCCA